UACGUAGGGCGCAAGCGUUGUCCGGAUUUAUUGGGCGUAAAGAGCUCGUAGGCGGCUCGUUGCGUCGGCUGUGAAAACCCGCAGCUUAACUGUGGGCCUGCAGCCGAUACGGGCGGGCUAGAGUUCGGUAGGGGAGACUGGAAUUCCUGGUGUAGCGGUGAAAUGCGCAGAUAUCAGGAGGAACACCGGUGGCGAAGGCGGCGACCUGGGUAGAUACUGACGCUGAGGUGCGAAAGCGUGGGGAGCAAACAGG
Molecule: ribosomal RNA, 253 nt
Filed under: uncultured bacterium
Lineage: Bacteria
Description: partial 16S ribosomal RNA
Rfam family: Bacterial small subunit ribosomal RNA
Source: RNAcentral